CCUAUUGUAAAAGAGAUUUAAAUUUCUGACAGGGACGGCAUCCCAUUUUUUUGGGUCUUCUCGACGAAUUGUAAAAGCAGUCCACAAUCACAGCAAAGCCAUGACCUCACUCUUAUUCUUGUCCUGCUCGAAUGUAGUUUUGAACAGUACAUUGCCAAUCUCAAGUCCACUUAAUUAUAGCCACAAACAGUGCCUUUAAAAAGGAUAUGAAAAUCAGUCUCUUACAAGCAAUCCCACCUCGAAAUUCUCUGGCAAAUAAAGAAAAAAAAAGGAGCUCAGUAGCAGAAUGAAGAAAGCUGAGCUGGUCUUCAUACCAACACCAGGUAUCAGCCACCUCGUAUCCACAGUAGAGGUAGCAAAGCUUCUUGUUGACCGUGAUGAGAGGCUUUCAGUCACCUUCCUAAUCAUGAAAAUACGUUCUGACCCCAAGAUUGAUAGGUUUAUAAAUUCAAUGAGUACAGCCUGUAAUCGUAUCCGCUUCAUUGACUUGCCUAAAGAUGAGCCUGAUCCAAACCAACCCAGGAAGUUUCUCUUUUCUAUGUUUGAAGCCCAGAUACCCCAUGUCAAAGAUGAAGUCUCUAAGCUUGUGAGCCUGUCCGAGUCAAGCCCUGACUCGCCUACACUUUCUGGGUUUGUUCUCGAUAUGUUUUGUACACCAAUGAUAGACGUGGCCAAUGAAUUUGGUGUUCCCUCAUAUAUUUUCCUUACGUCAGGUGCAGCUUUUCUUGGCCUCCAAUUUUAUGUUCAGGCUCUUCACGAUGAGCAGAAAGUUGACCCUACUGAGUUCAAGGGCUCGGAUGCUGAGUUGGUCAUGCCGUGUUUGGCAAAUCCUGUUCCAGCUAAGGUCUUGCCUUCUGUUUUGCUUAACAAAGAGUGGCUGCCAAAUAUGCUCCGUCAAGCUAGAAGGUUUAGAGAAACUAAGGGUAUUAUAAUAAACACAUUUGAAGAGCUGGAAUCCCAUGCGAUCAACUCCUUUUCUAAAGGUAAUAGCCCUCCGGUAUAUCCAGUGGGUCCCAUUUUAAACCUUAAUAGAGAUGGUGAUUGUGACGAGGAGUCUGAUAAAUACAAAGACAUCAAGCAAUGGCUUGAUGAUCAGCCCCUAUCCUCAGUAGUGUAUCUAUGCUUCGGGAGCAUGGGGAGUUUCGGAGUGGAUCAGGUGAAGGAAAUUGCUUAUGGGCUAGAGCAGAGCGGGCACCGAUUCUUGUGGUCUCUACGUCAACCACCACCGGAAGGGAAGAUGGAAGCUCCAAGCGAUUACACUGAUCCUCGGGAUGUCUUACCUGAAGGAUUUUUGGAUCGGACGGCUAACACAGGAAAAAUAAUUGGAUGGGCCCCACAGACAGAUAUUUUGGGCCAUCCAUCCGUAGGAGGGUUUGUAUCGCACUGUGGAUGGAACUCUAUAUUGGAAAGCAUAUGGUUUGGCGUUCCGAUUGCCGCGUGGCCAUUAUAUGCAGAGCAACAACUCAAUGCCUUUCAAAUGAUUGUUGAGCUCGGAUUGGGAGUGGAGAUUAAAAUGGAUUAUAGAAGAGAGUUUAUCUCGAAUGGUAAUGAAACUGUCAUUAGUGCCGGGGAGAUCGAGAGAGGAGUAAGGUGUUUAAUGGAGCUUUGCGAUGAGAAGAGGGAGAAGUUGAAGGAGAUGAGUGGAAAGAGCAGGAAGGCUUUGGAGAACGGUGGAUCCUCGUUCACAUGGUUAGGUCGUUUCAUUCAAGAUACGAUGGACCACCUACAAUGAUUAAAUUACUAGAUGCCAUCCCGGUGCCGCAGGCUUGUGGUAUAUUUAUAUAUUAUUGUAGAUUUAUGAAAAAAAUAAAAAUAUAUAUAUAAAAAGAGAAAAAUUGUUGCAAAUGUUUUCAAAAAAAAAAGUAAAAUUUUUAAUCAGUUUAAUAUUUAAAAAAUAAAAUAAUAAAAGAAAAUUUUUAAAAAAUUCACAUAAAAAAAAAACGAAAGGAAAGAAAAACUUUGUAAUAAAAUACUGUAAUAAUUUAUAGUGUUUCAUAAAAAAAUUCAUAAUUAUAAUUCUUAACUAACUCAAUAGUUAAAAUAAUAAAAUUAAUAAAAAUAAUUUUAAAAAAUUUCGUAACAAUAAAAAAUUAUAUGGUGGAAAACUGUAAUAAUCUACUCUACUUGACUUGGGCUAGGGCUUGAAUUGGCCUCUUGACUUUUUGGAGCUUGGGCAUUUCUUUGCUGGGUAUUCUUUUUCUUCAAUUGAACUUCUCUCUGCCCAUACAAACACAAAAAAAGAUAAAAAAAUAAUAAAAAAAAACAUGUAGGAAAAGUUAAAACUAAAUUCUAAAUCAGUUAAAUAUUAAAAAAAACAUUCGGGAAAGAUAAUUUAAAAAAAAACAUGUAGAUAAACACUGUAGCAAAACAAAAACCAUGUGGGGAAACGUUAUUACAGUCCAUAGUGUUUUUUUAAAAAAAAACUACGAAGCAAAAUUCAUAACCAGCUUAAUAUGAAAAAAAAAAAUCGACAAAGAUUAUUUUUAAAAAAAUCAUGAAAAAAAAGAAAACAAAUGUGUGAAAACAUUGCAGUAAUCCAAAAUGUUUUUUAAAAAAACUACAGAAUUAAAUUUUCAACUAGUUCAAUAUUAAAAAACAUUGACAAAGAUAAUUUAAAAAAAAACACAAAAAGAAAAAAGAAGAUAAUCUUAGGGGAUAAAAAGAAAAAAAAUGUAAAAUAAAAAAAAAAGGUAAAAACGAUAAAAAAAAAAUUAGGGAAAGAUUAAAAAAAAAGGGAAAAAAAAAGACAAAAUACAAAAGUAACUGAAAAAACAAAAACAACACAAAACAAAAUUAAAAAUAUUAAAAAACAAAAACAUGUAAGGAAAGUGUUUUAAAGUUUUUGUUUAAGUUGUUUUAUUGUUAUAAUUAUAGCUGUCGGAUCUUCUUGGGAAUUUAUACGAAAAAUCCAAGAGGCUAUGAAGUGAAUCUGGAUGCACUAUUUUUAUAGAAAAACUAAUAUUUUAUUAUUUUCUUAUGUUGAUCAACAAGAUUAUUAGGGUUGGAUUUAGCAACGACAAGGAGAACGAUGUCGUAUGAAUUUGAUUUAAUUAAAUAUCUUUGUAAAACUGAGCCUAAAUCAGGCUUUCAAUUUCAAAUUUCUUGUACCAAUCCACUAAACUAACCCUUAAAAGGUUCAUUACCUGGGAAGUCAUUCUAAAAUGACGAAAUGAUAGUCACUUUUCUGACAAAAAUUCAUUGAAAAAGUCAAAACAUCUACGACGCAGAUCUCCAAUGUUUUCAUUUUCUAAAACCAUCACCAAAAGCUCUUUUUUUUUUUUUCCGGAUGGUUAUCGUUAUUAUGUUAUUUUUGUUGAUGUCCACACAAAAUAUAUAUGGUAUUAUCCAUUUAUUGUAAAAUCUGAUGUUUAUUCUAUUUUUCAUCAAUUUUAAACUUUUAUCGAGCAUCAAUUUUCAUCAAAAAUAAAAUAUGUUCAAACUGAUUGGGGCAGUGACUCUCCAUUUUCUUUCAAACCAUUAGUAUUUAUCACCAUUUGAUAUGUCCUCACACUUGCGAACAAAAUGGAAUAGUAAAAAGACAUCAUUGACAUAUUGUGGAAACCGACCUUACUCUUUUAGGCCAAUGUAAAUCUCCAUUCCGCUUUUGGAAUUAUGCUUUUGAAACUUUGGUUUAUCUCAUCAAUCGCAUGCCUAUUCUUGUUCUUGCAAAUCGAUCUCCAUAUGAUUGUUUGUGUCAUUGUUCUACUUAUUAUCAUUUUUUGCGUACUUUUGGAUGUCUCUGUUUUCCCUUUUUGCGUCCUUAUAAUAAUCAUAAACCGGAUUUUCAGUCUUUUCCAUGUGUGUUUUAUGGCUACAGUUCUUCUCACCUUGGUUAUCGAUGUUUUGACAUUGAAUCUUAUCACAUGUAUAUCUUCUGUUAUGUCUGUUUUCAUGAACAUGUUUUUUCGUUUGAUAAUUCUGAACAUAUUACAUAGGUUUUGGCUCAAAACCACACACUAUUUCCUGCUACCAUCCUCCCAAAUCUGACCCACACCCCAUUAUUCACCGAUCAUGACACACCCCAUUCCGCCUCAGCCUCUACCCUGCAUUCACCUCCUACUAAAACACCACAGUCUCUACCUUUCACUUGCCGAUCACCAUAUACAUCUUUAUCUCACCAUUCUGUUGCAGGUACAUGUUGUAGAUUAGUUUUCCCUACACUCCAGCACGAUGUCUCUGCUAGUACUGGGAAACCCUUUGGUUCCUCCUUUGCUUCCCCUUUAUUUUGCCAGUCACCUGGCUUCUGAAGACUCUGUCUUUGUUGCCAACCUUGUUGUUGUUGGCAGCCCUCUGCUUGAGGCAACUUCUUCACCUAGUUUGAAUCUAGUGAUUGAUCUCUCCGCUUAUCCACUACAGCAGGACACCUCUGUGACACCAACCUCCGCUGCAUCACCAUCGUUUCUCAGCUGCCACCUUAUGGUCCUUAGACCGCGACAGCCCAAAACCGCAAAUAUGAUGGCCUCUACUGCAGCUGAUACAGUUGCCACUUGAGUAUUGCUAUCUCCUUCUUCUGAACCAAUUGCCUUCUCUGAUUUAGAUAAAUAUGUUGAUUGGCAUGAUGUUAUAUGUGAAGAGAUCAAGGCAUUGCGUUCCAACCACACUUGGUCCCUAAUGCCCCUUCAUCCUUCGAUGAAUGUUGUUGGCAAUCGAUGAAUAUAUCGGAUCAAACAUCGUGUUGAUGGUAGCAUUGAAUGUUAUAAAGCCCGUCUAGUUGCUAAAGGCUUUACCCAACAGGAAAGCAUUGAUUAUUCUGAAACUUUAGUCCAGUUAUUAAGCAGGCCACCAUCAGAUUAGUCUUGUCCAUUACGGUUUCACGUAAUUAGAAGAUUCAUAAGCUCGAUAUUCAUAAUGCAUUUCUCAAUGGUGUUCUUAUUGAAGAAGUCUACAUGAAGCAACCUCCAGAUUUUAUUGACCCUACUCUUCCAUCUCAUGUGUGCAAAUUGUACAAGUCAUUAUAUGGUUUAAAACAGACACCAAGGGCAUGGUACACCCAUCUGAGUAAGUUUUUACUCUCCAUUGGUUUCCUUGCCUUCAAGGUUGACACCUCCUUGUUUUAUCUUAUUUGAUGGUACUAAUAUCUUUUUUCUCCUAGUAUAUGUUGAUGAUAUUCUACUUAUGGGUAGCAACUCUGUCAUGUUUCAUCACCUAAUCCAGUUACUCAGCUUAGAAUUCAAGCUUCGUGACUUAGGUAUUGUUCACUAUUGUCUGGGUAUUGAAGUUCAGUAUACAAGUAUAGGUUUAAUGUUGCGCCAACACAAAUAUAUUAUUCACAUCCUCACUCGAGGUGGUAUGCCUUCUUGUUAACCCGUUGAUACUCUAGGUUCCCUCCAUCUCUGCUCCUUGGUGCGAUCUAUCUCUCAGCAAAUCCUAUCUUUCAUGCUUGUAUUAAACAUAUUGAGGUAGAUUAUCACUUUGUCUGCAAAGAAGAAAAUUCAUAUUCGCUUUAUCCCUUCUCGGGAUCAACUUGUUGAUGUCUUCAACAAAUCACUUUCUGUUGUGUCUUUUACUGCUUUCAGGUUUAAGCUUCGGGUCGAUCCUCAACCCUCAACUUGAAGGGACAUAUUAUAGAAUGUAUAGCAUGUAUAUCUUUCAAUAAAAAAUUAAUGUAGAAUUAUUUUAAUGUUAUAAUCCCUAUAAUAACGAUCGUAUUCUACCUUACAUGUAUAUAUCAAAAAAAUUGAUUAAUAACAACCUAAAUCAUUAUGUUAUUCUCGAUUUCUAUUAUCAUCAAUUAAAAAAAAAUAGAAAAUUCAGCCCAUAAUACGAUAGGGAGGGCAAAAUAUUCAGCCCAUAAUAACUGAGCAACAGCUAAUAAGGGUUCAAAAAACGUUGUCUUUUCAUGACUUAAAUUACUGACAGGAACGGCAUCGCUUUUUUUUGGGUCUUCUUGACGAAUUGUAAAAGCAGUCCACAAUGACAGCAAAGCCAUGACCUCACUCUCACUCUUGUCCUGCACGUAUAUAUUUUUGAGCAGUAAAUUGCCAAUCUCAAGUCCACUUAAUUAUAGCCACAAGUAGUGCCCUUAAAAAGGAUAUGAAAAUCAGUCUUUUACAUGCAAUCCCACCUUGAAAUUCUCUAGCAAAUAAAGAAAAAAUUAAAGAGCUCAGUCGCAGAAUGAAGAAAGCUGAGCUGGUCUUCAUACCAACACCAGGUAUCAGCCACCUCCUAUCCACAGUAGAGGUAGCAAAGCUUCUUCUAGACCGUGAUGAGAGGCUUUCAAUCACCUUCCUCAUCAUGAAAAUACGUUCUGACCCCAAGAUUGAGAGGUUUAUAAAUUCAGUGAGUACAGCCUGUAAUCGUAUCCGCUUCAUUGACUUGCCUAAAGAUGAGCCUGAUCCAAACCAACCCAGGAAGUUUCUCUUUUCUUUGAUUGAAACCCAGAUACCCCAUGUCAAAGAUGAAGUCUCUAAGCUUGUGAGCCAG
Molecule: long non-coding RNA, 6423 nt
Filed under: Populus tremula
Lineage: Eukaryota; Viridiplantae; Streptophyta; Magnoliopsida; Malpighiales; Salicaceae
Description: long non-coding RNA (PTRE_LNC001154)
Source: RNAcentral